This 225-nucleotide ribosomal RNA is filed under the name uncultured bacterium. RNAcentral's name for it is "partial 16S ribosomal RNA". It matches the Rfam family "Bacterial small subunit ribosomal RNA", at positions 111 to 334 of the family's 1533-position model. The record is from RNAcentral.
UAACACGUGGGUAACCUGCCUCAUAGAGUGGAAUAGCCUUCCGAAAGGAAGAUUAAUACCGCAUAACGUUGAAAGAUGGCAUCAUCAUUCAACCAAAGGAGCAAUCCGCUAUGAGAUGGACCCGCGGCGCAUUAGCUAGUUGGUGGGGUAACGGCCUACCAAGGCGACGAUGCGUAGCCGACCUGAGAGGGUGAUCGGCCACAUUGGGACUGAGACACGGCCCAG